CUCGAUAAAAGUUUUACUCCAAAAACAAUCAAGUCAAAAAUAAUUACAAACACUAAUUUUCUCAAAUAAUUACUAUUACAAUUCAAGGCUGCAAAUUUUGGUGGAACCAAUCAACAAAAUUUAUUCUCUUCACCAUCAUCAUGACAAGAAAAGGUCAGAACAAAUCACUGUAAUGCUGUCAGCAAGGUAAGUGUGAGACAAUGCCAAAGGCUAUUAACAGUAUUGCACUUUUAUAAGAUCAAGAAUAAAAAUUCUCCUUACAAUUACAAAUGCUUGAACAAAUACAAUGGAAAUGCAUAAAAGAAGAAAUUGGCUUUUAGGGACUUGAAGGUAUUUUUUGGACGACAAAACAAAGUUCGUAGAUAAGAGGCAUAAGCUGCAUCUGCAGAUUGAUUCUGAAUUGUAUUGUCACAUAGUUUCACAAGCUGAUGGUGAUGAAACUACAAAUGUCGACAAUCCAGUGUCAGUUGGAUGUCCCAGUUCUAGAUGAGGGUGAUAAGAAACUGGACUAGUGAAAAAGGAUCACCAAUGGUAUUAAUUUCUGUGAAUUGUUAGGACAAACUGUUAAGAAUACACUUGAAAUAUGAUUGAGCUUUGACCUAUCUACACUUAAAAAUAUAAUUCCACAGUAGCAUAACAAAAUUAUGCACCAUGAGAAAACCAAUGGAGCACAACCGAAAAUGCUGUUGCAUAACAGUGCAUUGAUUGUUUCGUUUGCGCAUCAGCCUCCGAAAAAUGCUCACAGCAACUAUAAUUUGGCAGUAACAUCUGCUAACAGCAAUUUCAAAGUCUCAUAGGUCAUAAAACAAAUGCCAACACCAGGUACGACUUUGUAGUAUUCAGGCAUAAUGCCUCUAUAUAGACCCCAAAAGCCUUCGGUCUGGAUUAUAUGCUUGAAUGUACCAAAAAGACCUGUUGUGUAAACACGGGCCCGGCCACCUGCCCCUUCCAAUUGCUUCCGUCGUCUCACAAGAUCAAGAGGAAAUGUUGCUGCGGAGUUAAACAGAAUGCAUUAUUCUUGAGCAAUGUAACUCUUUUUAACUGGACCAGAUUUGUGAAGAUAAUGAAAAUUAUGCAGGUCUCAAAUGUUCAUUAAACAUUGGCAAAGUCACAGGAAUAAUAAUCUCAAAAGCCAAUGAAUUACUUAAAAAAAGAAAAUCCACAUUGGGUAUUAUGAAGUUCUAUUCCAUUACCACUUAUCGGAUACUGCCAUAACAGAGGCUACCUUGCACUUGCAUGCAAAAGAAAAUUUACCAAUGCAGCUAUCAUAGACAAUUAUAACUGAUGUUAAUAUCAAACUAAAGGAACAUACCAAGUUCUAGCUCACCAAGAGAAAUUGGACUUAUAGCUGCUUCCAGUACAGUUCUGCUUAUCGUUAGGGUCAAAUACUUUUUGACAUGAGCAAUAAACAUAAGAGGAAAGUACAAAAAAGUAUCCCAAGGUUUCGCACUACAUUUAGGGACUUGUGAUUCAAUUUUUGACAAAAUAAUAUCCUAAGCUUUACUUUGCUAAUACUUAGAAGACAAAUGCUCUAAUACCAUUAAUUUUAAUGACAUGGCAGUGCAAGUUAAAUAAAACAAUAUAUAUUUUUUUAAAAUGUUUUAGGUCCCGCAAAUAAUAUGAAAUUAAAAAACAUUUGAGUUAGUAAUUUUUUACUGAAAAAAAAUAUUUUAUUUUACUUACUAUACACUGCCAUGUUAGCAAAAUUAACGACAUCUGAUGGAGUAAAGCUCACGGUAUCAUUUUGUCAAAAAUUGAACCACAGGUCCCUAAGUGUCAAAGCCCAAAAACCUCAAGGUACUUUUUUUGUAUUUUUCCCUAAACAUAAUCAAUUAAUUACAAAGUUUAUACAAAAAACUAUGGGUCAUAAUUAAUCUUUGUGCAUGCAUUUGCAUCAGCUCACUUUGAAUUAACCUUUUUUUUUAGUACAAACCAGUGGACAGCACCUUUGACAACUGCAUCACAAGGCUUGAAGGAUUCCAUAUCCUAAUUUAAUGCAAUUGGCAAAGGAAACCUAAUUGAGAAGCAUA
Molecule: unclassified non-coding RNA, 2030 nt
Filed under: Hevea brasiliensis (rubber tree)
Lineage: Eukaryota; Viridiplantae; Streptophyta; Magnoliopsida; Malpighiales; Euphorbiaceae
Source: RNAcentral